RNAcentral lists this ribosomal RNA (502 nucleotides) under uncultured bacterium. Its description in RNAcentral is "bacterial SSU rRNA". It matches the Rfam family "Bacterial small subunit ribosomal RNA", at positions 10 to 539 of the family's 1533-position model. The record is from RNAcentral.
AGUUUGAUCCUGGCUCAGGAUGAACGCUGGCGGUAUGCUUAACACAUGCAAGUCGAACGAUGUGGGGACGUAGCAAUGCUACGUCUGUGCAUAGUGGCGGACGGGUGAGUAACGCGUGAGAAUCUAGCUUCAGGUUCGGGACAACAUUGGGAAACCGAUGCUAAUACCGGAUGUGCCGAGAGGUGAAAGGCUAGCCGCCUGAAGAAGAGCUCGCGUCUGAUUAGCUAGUUGGUGGUGUAAGGGACUACCAAGGCGACGAUCAGUAGCUGGUCUGAGAGGAUGAUCAGCCACACUGGAACUGAGACACGGUCCAGACUUCUACGGGAGGCAGCAGGUGGGGAAUUUUCCGCAAUGGGCGAAAGCUGACGGAGCAAUACCGCGUGAGGGGGGAGGGCUCUUGGCUUGUAACCUCUUUUCUCAAGGAAGAGGUUCUUACGGUACUUGAGGAAUCAGCAUCGGCUAACUCCCUGCCAGCAGGCGCGGUAAUACGGAGGAUGGAAGC